GGGUGAGUAAUACAUGGGAACAUGCCCUCGAAUGGGGAAUAACGUUUGGAAACGAACGCUAAUACCGCAUAGUCUCGCAAGAGUAAAGGUGGCGCCGUAAGGGCUACCGUUCGAGGAUUGGCCCAUGUCCCAUUAGCUAGUUGGCAGGGUAAUGGCCUACCAAGGCGACGAUGGGUAACUGGUCUGAGAGGAUGAUCAGUCACACUGGAACUGAGACACGGUCCAGACUCC
This 231-nucleotide ribosomal RNA is filed under the name uncultured bacterium. RNAcentral's name for it is "partial 16S ribosomal RNA". It matches the Rfam family "Bacterial small subunit ribosomal RNA", at positions 104 to 339 of the family's 1533-position model. The record is from RNAcentral.